UACGUAGGGCGCAAGCGUUAUCCGGAAUUAUUGGGCGUAAAGAGCUCGUAGGCGGUUUGUCGCGUCUGCCGUGAAAGUCCGGGGCUCAACUCCGGAUCUGCGGUGGGUACGGGCAGACUAGAGUGAUGUAGGGGAGACUGGAAUUCCUGGUGUAGCGGUGAAGUGCGCAGAUAUCAGGAGGAACACCGAUGGCGAAGGCAGGUCUCUGGGCAUUAACUGACGCUGAGGAGCGAAAGCGUGGGGAGCGAACAGG
This 253-nucleotide ribosomal RNA is filed under the name uncultured bacterium. Its description in RNAcentral is "partial 16S ribosomal RNA". It matches the Rfam family "Bacterial small subunit ribosomal RNA", at positions 524 to 776 of the family's 1533-position model. The record is from RNAcentral.